UACGAAGGGGGCUAGCGUUGCUCGGAAUCACUGGGCGUAAAGCGCACGUAGGCGGACUCUUAAGUCGGUGGUGAAAUCCUGGAGCUCAACUCCAGAACUGCCUUCGAUACUGAGAGUCUUGAGUCCGGGAGAGGUGAGUGGAACUGCGAGUGUAGAGGUGAAAUUCGUAGAUAUUCGCAAGAACACCAGUGGCGAAGGCGGCUCACUGGCCCGGUACUGACGCUGAGGUGCGAAAGGCGUGGGGGAGCAAACAGG
This 255-nucleotide ribosomal RNA is filed under the name uncultured bacterium. RNAcentral's name for it is "partial 16S ribosomal RNA". It matches the Rfam family "Bacterial small subunit ribosomal RNA", at positions 524 to 776 of the family's 1533-position model. The record is from RNAcentral.